AUCUUUGGACGCACCCAAACCCAAGACUCGGUUAACGUUAAAAUAUUUUGAAGAUACAUCUUUGAAAUAUUUUGGAGGUUAAAUCGCAUCAGAUCCUUCUCCUUCCUCAUUUAUCAUUUUUCUCAAAACCAACUUCAAACACUCUCAACUUUUUUCUCAUCACCAACUCAAAAAUCAAUCAACGAAGCUCAAGGAAACUUUAACCAAC
RNAcentral lists this long non-coding RNA (208 nucleotides) under Lathyrus oleraceus (garden pea). RNAcentral's name for it is "Pisum sativum (pea) long non-coding RNA (PSAT_LNC037188)". The record is from RNAcentral. Lineage: Eukaryota; Viridiplantae; Streptophyta; Magnoliopsida; Fabales; Fabaceae.